UACGUAGGGGGCAAGCGUUAUCCGGAUUUACUGGGUGUAAAGGGAGCGUAGACGGCGGUGCAGGCCAGAUGUGAAAGCCCGGGGCUCAACCCCGGGACUGCAUUUGGAACUGUGCUGCUAGAGUGUCGGAGAGGCAGGCGGAAUUCCUAGUGUAGCGGUGAAAUGCGUAGAUAUUAGGAGGAACACCAGUGGCGAAGGCGGCCUGCUGGACGAUGACUGACGUUGAGGCUCGAAAGCGUGGGGAGCAAACAGG
RNAcentral lists this ribosomal RNA (253 nucleotides) under uncultured bacterium. RNAcentral describes it as "partial 16S ribosomal RNA". It matches the Rfam family "Bacterial small subunit ribosomal RNA", at positions 524 to 776 of the family's 1533-position model. The record is from RNAcentral.